Molecule: long non-coding RNA, 697 nt
Filed under: Manihot esculenta (cassava)
Lineage: Eukaryota; Viridiplantae; Streptophyta; Magnoliopsida; Malpighiales; Euphorbiaceae
Description: long non-coding RNA (MESC_LNC001529)
Source: RNAcentral
GGACCCGAGAGACCAAGGAGGCCCACAGAGUUAGAGUUACAGAGACUGCCCAGCAGUUGACAGAGGUGAGUGGAACAGAACUUUAUUUUAAAAGUUAAGAAUUGUUUUAGCAUGAUUCAUGCAUCAUUAUGCUAUGUGUAUGUAGGAUGCUUUGCAUUAGUAUUCAUCAAGUUGAUGCAUUGCAUUAUUACUUGUAUAUGUGGAUUGGACCGAGGCGAUCUCAAUAGCCCAUAAGUCUGUCAUUAUUGUAUGUCCUGUGUGAGCUCCUUUGGGGCCGGGCAUUUACCUUGGAUGAGUCCUGUGAGAGCCCUUAUAGGGUCGGGCACCAUGAGUAGUUAGUGAAAGACCUGUGUGAGCUCCUUUGGGAGCCGGGCACUGACAGAGGGAGUUUUGGGAUCAUGUCCAAUCCGAGAUGUGAAAUGUUUGUGCAGUGAUGCAUCAUAUGAUAGCAUGUUUUAAAUGUGAUUUUUUAUAGAUUCCGCUCACUGGGCUUUAGCAGCUCAUCCCUCUCCCUAACCCCAUUUUUUCAGGGCCUCAGAGAAGAGAAAGAGAAAGAGAUAGCAAGGGUAAAAGGCAUAAGUAAUAGUAUAGAAAAGUGGACAUGAUAAUGAUGUACAGUACAGAGUUUAUGUAAUGUAUAGAAAUGAUGUAAUAGCAAGUUAUGUAUUGAGUUAUAGAAUUGUGCUUGGCCCUAGUG